Molecule: ribosomal RNA, 513 nt
Filed under: uncultured bacterium
Lineage: Bacteria
Description: partial 16S ribosomal RNA
Rfam family: Bacterial small subunit ribosomal RNA
Source: RNAcentral
GACGAACGCUGGCGGCGUGCUUAACACAUGCAAGUCGAACGAUGAAGCCGGAGCUUGCUCUGGUGAAUUAGUGGCGAACGGGUGAGUAACACGUGGGUAACCUGCCCAUAAGACUGGGGUAACUCCGGGAAACCGGGGCUAAUACCGGAUAACAUUUUGAACCGCAUGGUUCGAAAUUGAAAGGCGGCUUCGGCUGUCACUUAUGGAUGGACCCGCGUCGCAUUAGCUAGUUAGUGAGGUAACGGCUCACCAAGGCAACGAUGCGUAGCCGACCUGAGAGGGUGAUCGGCCACACUGGGACUGAGACACGGCCCAGACUCCUACGGGAGGCAGCAGUAGGGAAUCUUCCGCAAUGGACGAAAGUCUGACGGAGCAACGCCGCGUGAGUGAUGAAGGCUUUCGGGUCGUAAAACUCUAUUGUUAGGGAAGAACAAGUGCUAGUUGAAUAAGCUGGCACCUUGACGGUACCUAACCAGAAAGCCACGGCUAACUACGUGCCAGCAGCCGCAGUAA